This is a long non-coding RNA of Schistocerca nitens (vagrant locust), 405 nucleotides long. RefSeq lists it as uncharacterized. The transcript has 2 exons. The record is from RefSeq and is a predicted model, not a curated record. NCBI's taxonomy places the organism in Eukaryota, Metazoa, Arthropoda, Insecta, Orthoptera, Acrididae.
ACAGCAGCUGCUAUGGCGCGCCACUUGAUCGUGCUUCUACUGGUAGCCGUCUGCUUGGUUCAGAGAAAAACAUCUACGACUUCAUUUCUGUCAUAAGCAUGUCAUUGCUCUUAAAAUUGAUGACAGUUUUCUCCACGAAUGUCCUGCCAUGUGGUCGAACAAUGCUUCCUUUCAAGAAACCAGAAAGAAGAUUUCAGCUCGAAAAGCAGUGAAUGAUACAGCUGAAAGAGCGGUCAAGACUUUCAUUGUGUAAUCUCGGUUGAGGAGGAACAAAAACAAUUUUUGUUACGUUGCCUACAAGAACACCUAAAGAUUUAUCCUGGCUGCAGAAAACAAACUUUGAAACGAAAAUUUAGAGACUAAUGUUUUUACAUGUUAAAUAGUGAAUAAACACGAUUUGGGCAA